UGGGGAAUAUUGCACAAUGGGCGCAAGCCUGAUGCAGCCAUGCCGCGUGUGUGAAGAAGGCCUUCGGGUUGUAAAGCACUUUCAGCGAGGAGGAAGGUGGUGAGCUUAAUACGCUCAUCAAUUGACGUUACUCGCAGAAGAAGCACCGGCUAACUCCGUGCCAGCAGCCGCGGUAAUACGGAGGGUGCAAGCGUUAAUCGGAAUUACUGGGCGUAAAGCGCACGCAGGCGGUUUGUUAAGUCAGAUGUGAAAUCCCCGGGCUCAACCUGGGAACUGCAUUUGAAACUGGCAAGCUAGAGUCUCGUAGAGGGGGGUAGAAUUCCAGGUGUAGCGGUGAAAUGCGUAGAGAUCUGGAGGAAUACCGGUGGCGAAGGCGGCCCCCUGGACGAAGACUGACGCUCAGGUGCGAAAGCGUGGGGCAGCAAACAGGAUUAGAUACCCUGGUAGUCCACGCUGUAAACGAUGUCGAUUUGGAGGUUGUGCCCUUGAGGCGUGGCUUCCGGAGCUAACGCGUUAAAUCGACCGCCUGGGGAGUACGGCCGCAAGGUUAAAACUUAAAUGAAUUGACGGGGUCA
RNAcentral lists this ribosomal RNA (575 nucleotides) under uncultured bacterium. RNAcentral's name for it is "partial 16S ribosomal RNA". It matches the Rfam family "Bacterial small subunit ribosomal RNA", at positions 355 to 921 of the family's 1533-position model. The record is from RNAcentral.